AAGAAGCGGGAAUGGGGAGUGACUGGAAGCUUCUGGGUGGGACUGAGGGGGGGCGGGCUGGACUGGAAGCCUUGCAAAAGUGCAGGCCUGGAAUCUGACCCCUCUGCUUGUGUCCCCCAACUGGACCUCAGCGCCCCCCGUCUUCUCCUCGCCAUGAGGCCUCAGCAGGCGCCUGUGUCCGGGAAGGUGUUCAUCCAGCGAGACUACAGCAGUGGCACACGCUGCCAGUUCCAGACCAAGUUCCCCGCCGAGCUGGAGAACCGGAUUGAUAGGCAGCAGUUUGAAGAAACAGUUAGAACUCUAAAUAACCUUUAUGCAGAAGCAGAGAAGCUUGGGGGCCAAUCAUAUCUUGAAGGCUGUUUGGCUUGUUUAACAGCGUACACUAUCUUCUUAUGCAUGGAAACUCAUUAUGAAAAGGUUUUGAAGAAAGUCUCCAAAUAUAUUCAAGAACAAAAUGAGAAGAUAUAUGCUCCCCAAGGCCUCCUCCUGACAGAUCCCAUUGAAAGAGGUCUUCGAGUUUUAGAUUGAAAUUACCAUUUAUGAAGACAGAAGCAUGAGCAGUGGAAGAUAAACCAUAAAUUAAAGAUGCCACCUCCAGACGGGACCCUCAGCUAUCCACUGGCUGAUCACUGAGUGUUCCCUACCUCCUCUCCAGAGCAUCAUUCCUUUGUAUCUGCUGCCAGAGCCAAGGUGCCAUUUACUCCAAGGACUAACUUUCUAAAAUUCCACACCUGGAGUGACCUCUAGUCACUAAGCAUCCACUUUGUGUCUCCAAAUUGUGCAAGACUGUAAUCUUUUAUUUUCUGAGAAAAUACAUUGAAGCAUUUCAUUUUCUAAAUUCAAAA
Suncus etruscus (white-toothed pygmy shrew) is the source of this 845-nucleotide RNA transcript. It is a transcript of the gene named golgin A7, with no coding region annotated. Lineage: Eukaryota; Metazoa; Chordata; Mammalia; Eulipotyphla; Soricidae. The transcript has 5 exons. The record is from RefSeq and is a predicted model, not a curated record.